UUAGUGGCGAACGGGUGAGUAAUACGUGAGUAACCUACCUUUAACUCUGGGAUAAGCCUGGGAAACUGGGUCUAAUACCGGAUACGACCAAUCUCCGCAUGGGGUGUUGGUGGAAAGCGUUAUGUAGUGGUUAUAGAUGGGCUCACGGCCUAUCAGCUUGUUGGUGAGGUAACGGCUCACCAAGGCGACGACGGGUGGCCGGCCUGAGAGGGUGACCGGCCACACUGGGACUGAGACACGGCCCAG
This 246-nucleotide ribosomal RNA is filed under the name uncultured bacterium. Its description in RNAcentral is "partial 16S ribosomal RNA". It matches the Rfam family "Bacterial small subunit ribosomal RNA", at positions 92 to 334 of the family's 1533-position model. The record is from RNAcentral.